UCACCAUCUUGAGCGGCCGAGAGAUCUGGGUCGACGACGCCGCAGCAACCACACCCCCACCGACCGGGCGCAGGUGCUAACGCCAGGACCGAUGGAAA
RNAcentral lists this non-coding RNA (98 nucleotides) under Micrococcus luteus. RNAcentral's name for it is "SAM-I sequence". It matches the Rfam family "SAM riboswitch aptamer (S box leader)". From Rfam's summary of the family: The SAM riboswitch is found upstream of a number of genes which code for proteins involved in methionine or cysteine biosynthesis in Gram-positive bacteria. The SAM riboswitch acts at the level of transcription termination control. The predicted structure consists of a complex stem-loop region followed by a single stem loop terminator region. RNAcentral also lists the same sequence under 1 other name. The record is from RNAcentral. Lineage: Bacteria; Bacillati; Actinomycetota; Actinomycetes; Micrococcales; Micrococcaceae.